UCAUCCACUCUCCAAAUUUCCAAAAACCACACAUAUAUAUGUGUGUAAAUCAAAUAAACCUCCUUUUUUCUCAAAAAUCGUGCAUCAAAACCCAAAUCCGUCAGUGCCAUUGGGUUCAGGACAGUCGAACCAUUGAAAACGAACUAUUGGAUCACUAUGAACAGAGUUCAAUACGCACCAGAAGCCAUCUCCAUUAAUUAGUCUCUUCGAAAAAUCGGAGUUACUAUUCAUUUUAAGUGAUUAGUACAGGUCGCGUAACUUCUUCAUCCUAACUCGUCUUUUCCUGAAACUUGACGAGUGCUUAUAUAAUUAAAUUACACACAAAAACAUCAUUAACAAAGGAUUUAUGUGCAUAGCAAAAAACUCAGUCCUC
RNAcentral lists this long non-coding RNA (373 nucleotides) under Ananas comosus (pineapple). Its description in RNAcentral is "long non-coding RNA (ACOM_LNC028350)". Lineage: Eukaryota; Viridiplantae; Streptophyta; Magnoliopsida; Poales; Bromeliaceae. The record is from RNAcentral.